This 2932-nucleotide ribosomal RNA is filed under the name Escherichia coli. RNAcentral describes it as "bacterial LSU rRNA". It matches the Rfam family "Bacterial large subunit ribosomal RNA". Lineage: Bacteria; Pseudomonadati; Pseudomonadota; Gammaproteobacteria; Enterobacterales; Enterobacteriaceae. The record is from RNAcentral.
GGGUUGUGAGGUUAAGCGACUAAGCGUACACGGUGGAUGCCCUGGCAGUCAGAGGCGAUGAAGGACGUGCUAAUCUGCGAUAAGCGUCGGUAAGGUGAUAUGAACCGUUAUAACCGGCGAUUUCCGAAUGGGGAAACCCAGUGUGAUUCGUCACACUAUCAUUAACUGAAUCCAUAGGUUAAUGAGGCGAACCGGGGGAACUGAAACAUCUAAGUACCCCGAGGAAAAGAAAUCAACCGAGAUUCCCCCAGUAGCGGCGAGGCGAACGGGGGAGCAGCCCAGAGCCUGAAUCAGUGUGUGUGUUAGUGGAAGCGUCUGGAAAGGCGCGCGAUACAGGGUGACAGCCCCGUACACAAAAAUGCACAUGCUGUGAGCUCGAUGAGUAGGGCGGGACACGUGGUAUCCUGUCUGAAUAUGGGGGGACCAUCCUCCAAGGCUAAAUACUCCUGACUGACCGAUAGUGAACCAGUACCGUGAGGGAAAGGCGAAAAGAACCCCGGCGAGGGGAGUGAAAAAGAACCUGAAACCGUGUACGUACAAGCAGUGGGAGCACGCUUCGGCGUGUGACUGCGUACCUUUUGUAUAAUGGGUCAGCGACUUAUAUUCUGUAGCAAGGUUAACCGAAUAGGGGGAGCCGAAGGGAAACCGAGUCUUAACUGGGCGUUAAGUUGCAGGGUAUAGACCCGAAACCCGGUGAUCUAGCCAUGGGCAGGUUGAAGGUUGGGUAACACUAACUGGAGGACCGAACCGACUAAUGUUGAAAAAUUAGCGGAUGACUUGUGGCUGGGGGUGAAAGGCCAAUCAAACCGGGAGAUAGCUGGUUCUCCCCGAAAGCUAUUUAGGUAGCGCCUCGUGAAUUCAUCUCCGGGGGUAGAGCACUGUUUCGGCAAGGGGGUCAUCCCGACUUACCAACCCGAUGCAAACUGCGAAUACCGGAGAAUGUUAUCACGGGAGACACACGGCGGGUGCUAACGUCCGUCGUGAAGAGGGAAACAACCCAGACCGCCAGCUAAGGUCCCAAAGUCAUGGUUAAGUGGGAAACGAUGUGGGAAGGCCCAGACAGCCAGGAUGUUGGCUUAGAAGCAGCCAUCAUUUAAAGAAAGCGUAAUAGCUCACUGGUCGAGUCGGCCUGCGCGGAAGAUGUAACGGGGCUAAACCAUGCACCGAAGCUGCGGCAGCGACACUAUGUGUUGUUGGGUAGGGGAGCGUUCUGUAAGCCUGCGAAGGUGGCCUGUGAGGGUUGCUGGAGGUAUCAGAAGUGCGAAUGCUGACAUAAGUAACGAUAAAGCGGGUGAAAAGCCCGCUCGCCGGAAGACCAAGGGUUCCUGUCCAACGUUAAUCGGGGCAGGGUGAGUCGACCCCUAAGGCGAGGCCGAAAGGCGUAGUCGAUGGGAAACAGGUUAAUAUUCCUGUACUUGGUGUUACUGCGAAGGGGGGGGACGGGAGAAGGCUAUGUUGGCCGGGCGACGGUUGUCCCGGUUUAAGCGUGUAGGCUGGUUUUCCAGGCAAAUCCGGAAAAUCAAGGCUGAGGCGUGAUGACGAGGCACUACGGUGCUGAAGCAACAAAUGCCCUGCUUCCAGGAAAAGCCUCUAAGCAUCAGGUAACAUCAAAUCGUACCCCAAACCGACACAGGUGGUCAGGUAGAGAAUACCAAGGCGCUUGAGAGAACUCGGGUGAAGGAACUAGGCAAAAUGGUGCCGUAACUUCGGGAGAAGGCACGCUGAUACGUAGGUGAAGUCCCUCGCGGAUGGAGCUGAAAUCAGUCGAAGAUACCAGCUGGCUGCAACUGUUUAUUAAAAACACAGCACUGUGCAAACACGAAAGUGGACGUAUACGGUGUGACGCCUGCCCGGUGCCGGAAGGUUAAUUGAUGGGGUUAGCGGUAACGCGAAGCUCUUGAUCGAAGCCCCGGUAAACGGCGGCCGUAACUAUAACGGUCCUAAGGUAGCGAAAUUCCUUGUCGGGUAAGUUCCGACCUGCACGAAUGGCGUAAUGAUGGCCAGGCUGUCUCCACCCGAGACUCAGUGAAAUUGAACUCGCUGUGAAGAUGCAGUGUACCCGCGGCAAGACGGAAAGACCCCGUGAACCUUUACUAUAGCUUGACACUGAACAUUGAGCCUUGAUGUGUAGGAUAGGUGGGAGGCUUUGAAGUGUGGACGCCAGUCUGCAUGGAGCCGACCUUGAAAUACCACCCUUUAAUGUUUGAUGUUCUAACGUUGACCCGUUAUCCGGGUUGCGGACAGUGUCUGGUGGGUAGUUUGACUGGGGCGGUCUCCUCCUAAAGAGUAACGGAGGAGCACGAAGGUUGGCUAAUCCUGGUCGGACAUCAGGAGGUUAGUGCAAUGGCAUAAGCCAGCUUGACUGCGAGCGUGACGGCGCGAGCAGGUGCGAAAGCAGGUCAUAGUGAUCCGGUGGUUCUGAAUGGAAGGGCCAUCGCUCAACGGAUAAAAGGUACUCCGGGGAUAACAGGCUGAUACCGCCCAAGAGUUCAUAUCGACGGCGGUGUUUGGCACCUCGAUGUCGGCUCAUCACAUCCUGGGGCUGAAGUAGGUCCCAAGGGUAUGGCUGUUCGCCAUUUAAAGUGGUACGCGAGCUGGGUUUAGAACGUCGUGAGACAGUUCGGUCCCUAUCUGCCGUGGGCGCUGGAGAACUGAGGGGGGCUGCUCCUAGUACGAGAGGACCGGAGUGGACGCAUCACUGGUGUUCGGGUUGUCAUGCCAAUGGCACUGCCCGGUAGCUAAAUGCGGAAGAGAUAAGUGCUGAAAGCAUCUAAGCACGAAACUUGCCCCGAGAUGAGUUCUCCCUGACUCCCUGAGAGUCCUGAAGGAACGUUGAAGACGACGACGUUGAUAGGCCGGGUGUGUAAGCGCAGCGAUGCGUUGAGCUAACCGGUACUAAUGAACCGUGAGGCUUAACCUUACAACGCCGAAG